UACGUAGGGCGCAAGCGUUAUCCGGAAUUAUUGGGCGUAAAGAGCUCGUAGGCGGUUUGUCGCGUCUGCCGUGAAAGUCCGGGGCUCAACUCCGGAUCUGCGGUGGGUACGGGCAGACUAGAGUGAUGUAGGGGAGACUGGAAUUCCUGGUGUAGCGGUGGAAUGCGCAGAUAUCAGGAGGAACACCGGUGGCGAAAGCGGUUCUCUGGGCAUUACCUGACGCUGAGGAGCGAAAGUGUGGGGAGCGAACAGG
RNAcentral lists this ribosomal RNA (253 nucleotides) under uncultured bacterium. RNAcentral's name for it is "partial 16S ribosomal RNA". It matches the Rfam family "Bacterial small subunit ribosomal RNA", at positions 524 to 776 of the family's 1533-position model. The record is from RNAcentral.